AGCCAUUACAGUAAUUGCUGGUCCCACGAUGAUUGGGCUUUCAUGCUGUUGUGUUAGGUAUACCUCUUUCAAACCUUGUUAGUAUCAGCACGUCACUUGUCUGAUC
Molecule: small nucleolar RNA, 106 nt
Filed under: Tupaia belangeri chinensis (Chinese tree shrew)
Lineage: Eukaryota; Metazoa; Chordata; Mammalia; Scandentia; Tupaiidae
Description: Tupaia chinensis (Chinese tree shrew) Small nucleolar RNA U13
Rfam family: Small nucleolar RNA U13
Source: Rfam by way of RNAcentral